CCGUUUAUGUCACUAAAUGAACCUAGGGGUAUGAAUAAAGAGCUAUCCUGACAACGCAGCAAUGCACACGCAUGGGAAGGAAUCGCGAGAAGAAUUUCUUUCUGGUAACCACAAACCGGAUAUGCUG
Gammaproteobacteria bacterium is the source of this 127-nucleotide non-coding RNA. The record is from Rfam. Lineage: Bacteria; Pseudomonadati; Pseudomonadota; Gammaproteobacteria.